GCCGGGCGUGGUGGCGUGCGCCUGUAAUCCCAGCUACUCAGGAGGCUGAGGCAGGAGAAUCGCUUGAACCCAGGAGGCAGAGGUGGCGGUGAGCCGAGAUCAUGCCACUGCACCCCAGUCUGGGCAACAGAGUGAGACUCCGUCUCCA
RNAcentral lists this non-coding RNA (148 nucleotides) under Homo sapiens (human). The record is from Rfam by way of RNAcentral. Lineage: Eukaryota; Metazoa; Chordata; Mammalia; Primates; Hominidae.